AGCGAACGCUGGCGGCAGGCUUAACACAUGCAAGUCGAGCGGGCGUAGCAAUACGUCAGCGGCAGACGGUGAGUAACGCGUGGGAACGUACCUUUGGUUCGGAACAACACAGGGAAACUUGUGCUAAUACCGGAUAAGCCCUUACGGGGAAAGAUUUAUCGCCGAAAGAUCGGCCCGCGUCUGAUUAGCUAGUUGGUAGGGUAAUGGCCUACCAAGGCGACGAUCAGUAGCUGGUCUGAGAGGAUGAUCAGCCACAUUGGGACUGAGACACGGCCCAAACUCCUACGGGAGGCAGCAGUGGGGAAUAUUGGACAAUGGGGGCAACCCUGAUCCAGCCAUGCCGCGUGAGUGAUGAAGGCCCUAGGGUUGUAAAGCUCUUUUGUGCGGGAAGAUAAUGACGGUACCGCAAGAAUAAGCCCCGGCUAACUUCGUGCCAGCAGCCGCGGUAAU
Molecule: ribosomal RNA, 450 nt
Filed under: uncultured bacterium
Lineage: Bacteria
Description: bacterial SSU rRNA
Rfam family: Bacterial small subunit ribosomal RNA
Source: RNAcentral